Molecule: ribosomal RNA, 538 nt
Filed under: Salmonella enterica
Lineage: Bacteria; Pseudomonadati; Pseudomonadota; Gammaproteobacteria; Enterobacterales; Enterobacteriaceae
Description: bacterial SSU rRNA
Rfam family: Bacterial small subunit ribosomal RNA
Source: RNAcentral
GUGCUAAGUGUUAGGGGGUUUCCGCCCCUUAGUGCUGCAGCUAACGCAUUAAGCACUCCGCCUGGGGAGUACGACCGCAAGGUUGAAACUCAAAGGAAUUGACGGGGGCCCGCACAAGCGGUGGAGCAUGUGGUUUAAUUCGAAGCAACGCGAAGAACCUUACCAGGUCUUGACAUCCUUUGACCACUCUGGAGACAGAGCUUUCCCUUCGGGGACAAAGUGACAGGUGGUGCAUGGUUGUCGUCAGCUCGUGUCGUGAGAUGUUGGGUUAAGUCCCGCAACGAGCGCAACCCUUGAUUUUAGUUGCCAGCAUUUAGUUGGGCACUCUAAAGUGACUGCCGGUGCAAGCCGGAGGAAGGUGGGGAUGACGUCAAAUCAUCAUGCCCCUUAUGACCUGGGCUACACACGUGCUACAAUGGAUAGUACAAAGGGUCGCGAAGCCGCGAGGUGGAGCUAAUCCCAUAAAACUAUUCUCAGUUCGGAUUGUAGGCUGCAACUCGCCUACAUGAAGCCGGAAUCGCUAGUAAUCGUGGAUCAG